Molecule: non-coding RNA, 533 nt
Organism: Penaeus vannamei (Pacific white shrimp)
Lineage: Eukaryota; Metazoa; Arthropoda; Malacostraca; Decapoda; Penaeidae
Source: RefSeq, a predicted model, not a curated record
AUUCAGUUUCCUUUUCAGUCCAGUUCUUUCUUCCGAAUUGCCUCUACAUUUCUCCCCCUUCUCUCCUUCUCUCCUUCCCAGGUCUCAUCGACGAGUUUCUUUCCCAUCCUUCGUGGCAGCCUCUGAGUCGCCUCACCUACCCUCUCUACCUCGUGGCUGUUGUUGUGCAGCUGAUGUUCAUUGGCUCUGUGGAGUUGCCUCUGUAUAGCAACCACACGAGCUUGAUCAUAGAGACAACGGGUUAUUUAUUCAUCGGUGGAAUGAUCGCUCUUUGGCUUUCGCUCGCCGUCGAGGUUCCCAUCAGCGGGCUGGAGAGAAUGCUGAUUCGUCGUCAAGACAAAACCAAGGAGGCACCGAAGAGGGAAUAAGAUGGACAGGAAUUCAAAAAUGAGUUUGUGUGUAUGUACGUGUCUCUUGAGAAUGUUACCAGACAAUUAUGGUUAAAUGUGAGAUCUUUUUGUCGUAGUCUAAGGAUCUACAAGAACAUUGAAUAUGACUUUUAUGUCGAUAUUAAAACAUAAAACUAAUUUUUA